CAUUUCAAUUGAUCGAUGUAAGUUUAGAGGUAGGAGUUGAAGUUCCAUCAUCACCUCUUCUCUAAUACAGGUAGAGCACGUUAUCAUCUGAUACCACCAUAUUUAUUAGAACAAGUCUAGGAAAAGCAUAUAACAUUUCAAUUUCUUCUUAACAAAAAAAAACGAAAAAAGAAAGAAAGAAAUUAUUUAGAAGUCACUUGCAAAAGGCACCAAAUUAAAGCAAAGCAAAAAAAAAA
This 236-nucleotide long non-coding RNA is filed under the name Gossypium raimondii (Peruvian cotton). Its description in RNAcentral is "long non-coding RNA (GRAI_LNC004816)". Lineage: Eukaryota; Viridiplantae; Streptophyta; Magnoliopsida; Malvales; Malvaceae. The record is from RNAcentral.